Molecule: long non-coding RNA, 369 nt
Organism: Amphibalanus amphitrite
Lineage: Eukaryota; Metazoa; Arthropoda; Thecostraca; Balanomorpha; Balanidae
Exons: 4
Source: RefSeq, a predicted model, not a curated record
UCUCUGCCAGCAUUGGCAGCACCGCCACCAGCACCGCCGGCCUCAGGACCAAGCCCACCACCAGCGGGCGUUGACGGAGGUGGGUGUGCGGCUCUGGCGCAGCUGAGCCGUCGACCGCCGGAGCCAAUCCGGCAGUCCGGCAUUUCAGCUGCCGCACACUCGCCCGUCACAGCAUGAGAGGCCUCCCGAGACAGCUCCCCGCGCGGCCAGCUGUCGCCAUGACGGUGACCAGAGCCCGGGGACAGACGCUCGGUCGGGUGUCCGUCUCUCUGAAGGAGCCAGUGUUCAGCCGCGGGCAGACAGAUCCAUCACGAUCAGCUGGUGUAGGCCAUCCACGACAGAUGAGUGCUAUACAAGCCUGCCUCCGCC